CUCUUAUCAAGAGAGGUGGAGGGACUGUGCCCUAUGAAACCCGGCAACCGUCAGACUAACUGAAAUGGUGCCAAUUCCUGCAAAGCAUAAGCUUUGAAAGAUGAGAG
This 107-nucleotide non-coding RNA is filed under the name Bacillus sp. (in: firmicutes). Its description in RNAcentral is "Bacillus sp. SAM-I sequence". It matches the Rfam family "SAM riboswitch aptamer (S box leader)". Rfam says of the family: The SAM riboswitch is found upstream of a number of genes which code for proteins involved in methionine or cysteine biosynthesis in Gram-positive bacteria. The SAM riboswitch acts at the level of transcription termination control. The record is from RNAcentral. RNAcentral also lists the same sequence under 1 other name. Lineage: Bacteria; Bacillati; Bacillota; Bacilli; Caryophanales; Bacillaceae.